Molecule: ribosomal RNA, 517 nt
Filed under: uncultured bacterium
Lineage: Bacteria
Description: bacterial SSU rRNA
Rfam family: Bacterial small subunit ribosomal RNA
Source: RNAcentral
GGGUUCGAUUCUGGCUCAGGAUGAACGCUGGCGGCGUGCUUAACACAUGCAAGUCGAACGGAGUUUUAAACGGUAAGUUUCGGAUGGAAGUUUAAGAACUUAGUGGCGGACGGGUGAGUAACGCGUGGGUAACCUGCCUCAUACGAGGGGGAUAACAGUUAAGAAAUGACUGACUAAGACCGCAAUAAUAUAGACGAAACCGCAUGUAUUUUGCUAUACAAAUUAUUUAUAGGUAUGAGAGUCGGGCCCGCGUCUGAUUAGCUAGUUGGUGGGUAAAAGCCUACCAAGGCGACGAUCAGUAGCCGGCUUGGGAGAGUGACCGGCCACAUUGGGACUGAGACACGGCCCAAACUCCUACGGGAGGCAGCAGUGGGGAAUAUUGGACAAUGGGGGAAACCCUGAUCCAGCGACGCCCGCGUGAGUGAAGAAGUAUUUCGGUAUGUAAAGCUCUAUCAGCAGGGAAGAUAAUGACAGUACCUGACUAAGAAGCCCCGGCUAACUACGUGCCAGCAGCUGC